CCGACGUGGAGUGACGUCACGCGCGGGACACACAGACAUUCUUGGCUCAUUAUAGCAGUAAACAUAAACAUCGCGCAGAAGGGACAGGCGAUGUCGGUCCACACUUCGCUGCGCUGGAAUUCUGCCGUCGAGCCGCGGGGUACGGGGCUCCUCCUCGAUGCCAGAGGUCGCAACCGGGUACCCGAUACCCGGCUACCCGUACCCGUUUGCGACCCUGGUGCGGCCGAGUACGGGUAGGCCGUGAGUCACUGUUGGUUGGCGAGUAAACCCAUGCAGGAAGAACUGUGGAGGCUCAAUUCCUUUGGCACGGACGGAACAAAAAGCUGCAAAAGUCGUGGACAGCCCCGACGCUUGCGAAUGAAUUUACACCAAGCGGCAGAAAGAGCAACACAUGGAUCGGAGGACACAUGCAGCAAGUUUGAGACAUCGCAUUGAAUGUUCACAGAAGUCGGGCUUGGGCAGGAAAACGUGAUGAUGAUGAUGCUCGCGAACUUUACGUGACACUAAAUCCGUUCGAAGGAUGAAUUGACACCCUGAACACCCAUCAUCAAAUGAGAUGCUCCAUCUCCAAGAAUUAUCCAGGUGAAGUGUUUUAAUGAAUUAAACUUGGAGAGCCUUUGUCCCAAGUGACGUAUAGGGGCCCUGAUUUUUAAAAAGGCGCUUGAAUUCACAUUAAACGGCACUAUCAAUGUCACGUGGGAUGUCUUUACAUUCAUCAAAAAAGAACAUCAACAGGCCGAUGGGCCGCAUCUCCUCCGUGAAUGGUCAAAAUUAUGUAUGUGUUUCUCUCUCUCUAUGUAUCUCUGUGAUAUAUGUCUGCUUAUAGGACUGCCUAUAUGUCUCUGGUUCUGUGUUUUAUCUCUCUCUCAAAUUUAGCAUUCUCAGGAAGAACGUAAUCAACCAGGCAGGGUGUUGACUGUUAU
Lethenteron reissneri (Far Eastern brook lamprey) is the source of this 923-nucleotide long non-coding RNA. RefSeq lists it as uncharacterized. The record is from RefSeq and is a predicted model, not a curated record. NCBI's taxonomy places the organism in Eukaryota, Metazoa, Chordata, Hyperoartia, Petromyzontiformes, Petromyzontidae.